Molecule: ribosomal RNA, 786 nt
Filed under: uncultured bacterium
Lineage: Bacteria
Description: bacterial SSU rRNA
Rfam family: Bacterial small subunit ribosomal RNA
Source: RNAcentral
AGAGUUUGAUCAUGGCUCAGAACGAACGCUGGCGGCGUGCUUAACACAUGCAAGUCGAGUGCGCGGUUGUAGCAAUACAACUGGCGCACGGCGCACGGGUGCGUAACACGUGGGCAAUCUGCCCUCCGAUGGGGAAUAACCCCGCGAAAGCGGGGCUAAUACCGCAUAACAUUCCUUGGACUUCGGUUCGAGGAUUCAAAGCCGUAAGGCGUCGGAGGUGGAGCCCGCGCACGAUUAGCUAGUUGGCAGGGUAACGGCCUACCAAGGCUUUGAUCGUUAGCUGGUCUGAGAGGAUGGCCAGCCACACUGGAACUGAGACACGGUCCAGACUCCUACGGGAGGCAGCAGUGGGGAAUCUUGCGCAAUGGGCGAAAGCCUGACGCAGCGACGCCGCGUGGGGGAUGAAGCUUCUCGGAGUGUAAACCCCUUUCGACUGGGACGAAUACCUCGCAAGAGGGGUGACGGUACCAGUAGAAGAAGCCCCGGCUAACUACGUGCCAGCAGCCGCGGUAAGACGUAGGGGGCCAGCGUUGUUCGGAAUUACUGGGUGUAAAGGGUUCGUAGGCGGUGUAGCAAGUCGGGAGUGAAAUCUCUGGGCUUAACCCAGAGACUGCUUCCGAAACUGCUGUGCUUGAGUGUGGGAGAGGCGCGUGGAAUUGCAGGUGUAGCGGUGAAAUGCGUAGAUAUCUGCAGGAACACCCGUGGCGAAAGCGGCGCGCUGGACCACUACUGACGCUGAGGAACGAAAGCUAGGGGAGCAAACAGGAUUAGAUACCCUAGUAGUCC